CCUGCAUCUCAACCCACUAGUAAAACUCUCUCUUAUUUCAUUCAAAUUAAUCAAGGAUCCCAAACUUGAUUUUUAUAUUUCUAGAGUACAUAGGAGACACCGUGCUUUUAUGUGUUGAACUUCGCAUAUAAUUAAGGCCGGACUCCGUUUGUCAUGUAUCUUGUUGUGUUUCUUAGUGGCGGCUCCAGGAUUGUUUAAGAGGAUGUUCAAAAAUGACUUUAACUCUAUUCCCUCUAUGAGAAGUAGAAUAUACACAAAAUUUCGUACUCCUUAUGUCCUAAAAUGAUAGUUCCCUACGAAAGAACCUACACUUUUUGAAUCAGAAAAUAAAUAUUUGCAUUCAAAAUUUUUCAAAUUUUUCUGCACCAAAUUAAAGAACUAAUUGAAAUCUUUAAUUAACUCGAAAACUCAUGUACGAAAAGUAUUUUAUUUGUUAUCCGAAAAUUGUAUUUAAGUGUUCGAUUAUAAUUUACUUGAAUCGGGAUCGAUGAGUGUUUAUUCAUAUUUGGACUGGAUGUUCAAAUGAUGAAUUAACCCGCAAUAGUGAAAACAGUUGACCAGCAUUGAUAGAAGGAACCCAUAAUUAUGCAGGCCUGACAUUGACAUGAUAAGCCCCAAAGGGUAGGUUAAUACAUGAAGGAAGAUGCCAUUGCCCAUGGCACGGCCAUGAUUGUUCCUUUGAAAAGGAACUUCCCAUUCUCAACAGUUAGCGCCCCAAAUCAUUGAGAACUCUCCCUAUCUUGACUUUGACACAUCAUUGAGUUCUGCUCGCAAGACACACCCAUCACACAUAAUUACUAGUAGUAUUAUUAUCAGCAAGACCAUUCUCACCGCUCGAUAGAAUAACCCUUUUGAUUUAGAUAUAUGCUGCUAAUAAUGUAUGUAACAUAUAUGAUAAACAAGUGAAACCCAAUUUCGAUUGAUGUAGAAACCUGAUUCAAUUAAUUCAACGAUUAAUGUAAUGAAUCACCUCUUCAAAAAAAAAAUCAAGCGACGAUUCAUUAUUGUCGUAUCACGUUUCAAUUAUUGGGUUCUAGAUAUUUUCUGUUGGCCUACAUUAUAUUAUCUGAUCAUAAUAAUAACUCUUCUCAACCCAUCAUCAGCUUCAUGAUUUUGAAUAUAUAUAGAAGUGUACGCUCUGGCCUAAAUCGUUAAAUAAAAAUGGCAUAAAAAAUCUACUAGUAAUAUAUUGUGGCCGACUUUAAUGCAUUGUUGCUGAUGUGUGUUAUGGGUUGUUUCUUCCAGAAUUAAUUAAAUUUUCCUAUUUUCUUUAGUGAUUUUCUUGUUAAUGUCUUUCUGCCUAUGAAUUAACUUCUUCUUUCAGUUGGCUUUCUUCCUUCCAAAAUUAUAAGCUUUCCUUUUUCUAGGUAAGUUACAAAACUAGUAGAAGUUGUUUUAAUCCAUCGAUCAAUUUUCUUCAAAAAGUUUACAAACACAACUCCGAACAUAACUGUAUUUGAAGCCGUUUGAUACAUGUGGACCUAGGGCCAGUCGUAGGAUGAAGGUGGAGGUAAGACCGCUUUAGGCCUCCAAAUUUUAUGCAAAAGUUGAGGCCCCGUUUUUCCGUACCACACAUUUAUAUAUUAAAAAACAUUAGUUGUUCUGUAUUUCGGUGCAACAUGUGUUUUGGCCCAAGUGUUCUGUGCAAACCCCAUAAACCAAGGGUUCCCCGGUUCAAAUUCUAGGAGGUCUCUCUCGGCAAACUUUUUAUUUUUAUUCUCCCCGGUUCAAAAUCCUAGAAUGUUUACCAUAUUUUUCUUUUGUGUGCUGGAAUCGGACUUUGGAUUGGUGCUGUGCAGUGGUAUGCGCAGCACCGUCAUGCGUACCUUCGAGCCAUUGUAUCGUACAUCCGACGACUCGAAUCUCAUCUCGGCAACCAACGAUCGAGAGCCGUCCAUUGUCGAGAUGAGAUCCGAGCCGUCGGAUGCACAGCACCAUCCCCCAAUUGGCUAGAAUCAUGCACUUGAAUUCCUCCCUAACUCUUUAAAGCCUACAACAAUAGGAAUCCGCACAGUUGGAAAUAGCAUUCUAAAAAUGGCCAAGAUCCAGGUUGUCCAAAAUACCAAGAAUAAUAAGACUUUGUUGUCUCCUUCCUUUUUUCUGUAACUACAGUAAAAAGUUUGACAAACAUUUUUAAUUGAUCUGAGUUGGCCUUAUCAUUUACUUUCACGCAACUAAUAGCAUCACCAAUGAUUCUGCUAUUUUCAGGGUGCCAAAGCCAAAUUUUGGCAUGCUACAAAUUUUUUUUUUUUUUUUUUGGGGCUUGGGGCCAUAAUUUGGCCAAAGUGUUCCAAUGGUGGGAGAGCCAAAAUCUGGCCGUCGUUCUCAACUACCUUCUAACAACACUUUUUUUUAACUAAUACUAUCUUUUGAAAUAUCAAUUGACUUUUUUAUAUACUUUAACUAUUGUUUAAUCACAUUCUAACCACGAUUUUAUGGUUCUGCCUAAUUUUUUUAUCUACCUCCCUCGACCUAAUUUUACUGGUUGUACAAAAUUUUACUGGAUUCUAGUUCUUUGUGCACCCUUGGAUUACUCUCUAGCAAGUCCCAACCACACUGGAUAUAUUUAAACCCUCCUUGUUUAUAACAUAUAUCAGUCCAAUGUAGAAAACUUUGUUCUCUCUCACACCAUUUUAUCUCACUCCAACAAAACUCUCCUCCAUCUUCUCUCACACACCGAUCUGAUCUCUCUCUCUCUCUCUCUCUCUCUCUCUCUCUCUCUCUCUCUCUCUCACCCCAAUUUGUCUAUAAUCACUUGCAUUCUCCGGCUACUAAUUUGGGAAGGGAACUGAUUGGCCGAAAGGAGGUCUGAUGAAUAGAGCAAAGAUCUGGCUUUUGUUUCCAAUUUAUUGAUUUCUUGGAAGUAAGGGAAGAGGUUGGAAGUAUAGUCAUGGGCAACCAAUACGCCGCGGUUCUCCGCCUUCUUCGCCGCCGCCUGAAUUCUCUGAAUUUCAGGGACAUUCCCAUACAGAACAGAGGGCUGAGGACCUCUGAUCCCUUGCUUUUGGAGCUUCCACCGGACCCUCUGAGGCUUCAGCCACACACGGUCGAAGAGAAGGCAAGCCAGAGGCAGGGCUAGAGCCAACAAAGACAAGUUUUGCACCACACCACCGCCUACGGCAAGAAGAGGAAGAAGAAGAAGAAGCAGCAGCAGAAUAGGGGCCUCCAUUAUUUUGGCUCUAUUGCUUUGGUUUGUAUUGGGACAUGUAUUACACUU
Rhododendron vialii is the source of this 3217-nucleotide long non-coding RNA. RefSeq lists it as uncharacterized. The record is from RefSeq and is a predicted model, not a curated record. NCBI's taxonomy places the organism in Eukaryota, Viridiplantae, Streptophyta, Magnoliopsida, Ericales, Ericaceae. The transcript has 2 exons.